UGAGGAAUAUUGGUCAAUGGGCGAGAGCCUGAAUCAGCCAAGUAGCGUGCAGGAUGACGGCCCUAUGGGUUGUAAACUGCUUUUAUAUGGGAAUAAAGUGAGGGACGUGUCCCUUAUUGCAUGUACCAUACGAAUAAGGACCGGCUAAUUCCGUGCCAGCAGCCGCGGUAAUACGGAAGGUCCAGGCGUUAUCCGGAUUUAUUGGGUUUAAAGGGAGCGUAGGCUGUUUGUUAAGCGUGUUGUGAAAUGUAAGAGCUCAACUUUUAGAUUGCAGCGCGAACUGGCAGACUUGAGUUCGAACAACGUGGGCGGAAUUCAUGGUGUAGCGGUGAAAUGCUUAGAUAUCAUGACGAACUCCGAUUGCGAAGGCAGCUUACGGGAGCGCAACUGACGCUAAAGCUCGAAGGUGCGGGUAUCGAACAGG
This 424-nucleotide ribosomal RNA is filed under the name Verrucomicrobiota bacterium. RNAcentral's name for it is "Verrucomicrobia bacterium partial 16S ribosomal RNA". It matches the Rfam family "Bacterial small subunit ribosomal RNA", at positions 355 to 776 of the family's 1533-position model. The record is from RNAcentral. Lineage: Bacteria; Pseudomonadati; Verrucomicrobiota.